CCAUGGUUUCAACCGUGGGUUUUGCUGAUUUUGCGAUUCACAAAGGUGGUUUCAAAUGAAACCAUGGUUUCAACAGUGGGUUUUCGGCAUGAUUUUGAGUCAACUGUUUUAGGUGGUUUCAAACCGUGGGUUUUAGGAAAACCAUGGUUUUUAGGCAGAUUGACCAAUCACAGAACAGUAUUUCGGUACAUUGCUGAGCUAGCUGAGCAAGUGCAUAGACGACGAGAAAUAGCUUUGCACGAAAUGAAGAGGAGCAAAGCGUUUAAUAUCGGUAUUUGCCGAGCUGUGAGAACAUCUAAAUUUUUGAAUGGAUGAAAACAUCUUACAACAUGCACAGGCUGUCCUGAGAGACUAUUAAAUGAGGAUUGUUAGAGAGGAAUAUGCCAACAAGAACUGCAAUGAGGAGUCGUUGACAGGAGGAAACUUUUUAAAAGAGAACACACACUACCUCAUCAACAUGCUUGAAGAUG
This is a long non-coding RNA of Lytechinus variegatus (green sea urchin), 470 nucleotides long. RefSeq lists it as uncharacterized. NCBI's taxonomy places the organism in Eukaryota, Metazoa, Echinodermata, Echinoidea, Temnopleuroida, Toxopneustidae. The transcript has 3 exons. The record is from RefSeq and is a predicted model, not a curated record.